AUUGAACGCUGGCGGCAGGCUUAACACAUGCAAGUCGAGCGGGGUGAUGGUGCUUGCACUAUCACUUAGCGGCGGACGGGUGAGUAAUGCUUAGGAAUCUGCCUAUUAGUGGGGGACAACAUCUCGAAAGGGAUGCUAAUACCGCAUACGUCCUACGGGAGAAAGCAGGGGAUCUUUAUGACCUUGCGCUAAUAGAUGAGCCUAAGUCGGAUCAGCUAGUUGGUGGGGUGAAGGCCUACCAAGGCGACGAUCUGUAGCGGGUCUGAGAGGAUGAUCCGCCACACUGGGACUGAGACACGGCCCAGACUCCUACGGGAGGCAGCAGUGGGGAAUAUUGGACAAUGGGGGGAACCCUGAUCCAGCCAUGACGCGUGUGUGAAGAAGGCCUUAUGGUUGUAAAGCACUUUAAGCGAGGAGGAGGCUCUUUUGGUUAAUACCCAGAAUGAGUGGACGUUACUCGCAGAAUAAGCACCGGCUAACUCUGUGCCAGCCGCCGCCGUAA
Molecule: ribosomal RNA, 502 nt
Filed under: uncultured bacterium
Lineage: Bacteria
Description: partial 16S ribosomal RNA
Rfam family: Bacterial small subunit ribosomal RNA
Source: RNAcentral